This is a long non-coding RNA of Gavialis gangeticus (Gharial), 4127 nucleotides long. RefSeq lists it as uncharacterized. The transcript is spliced from 2 exons. The record is from RefSeq and is a predicted model, not a curated record. NCBI's taxonomy places the organism in Eukaryota, Metazoa, Chordata, Crocodylia, Gavialidae.
GACAAACCUUCAGUAAGAAAUCACACGUAUUCUGUCGCAAUCUCCAAACAUUUUCCAUCAGAGCAUAACUUCUCUUCACAAUCGAAAUGUGAACCUCAUCUUCCCUGUGUGAUUGGGAAGUAGCCUAUAUAUGCCACAAAUGGAGAAAUUAAGGCAGCAAAAGAUACUGGACUUGCGCCAAGGCAUAUUAGCAAGCCUGCAGCACAGCACUGGCUACAUCUCAGGGGUCCUAACAUAAGAAAGCCCUGUAAUAGAUAACAUUCCCUGUAAUUAAAAAAAAGUUAUAGAAUAUUUGUUAAACAGCUUCAUUCUCUUCAUCUGUCAACUAAACAACAUCAAAAUACAAACACUACAGGCAGCAAAGACUGCAUCCAAAGUCAGCAAGAGCCUAGAAGGGCAAACAGCAACACUAGUGCAUCGCAGGCUAGGUAACUGUCCAGAGAUAAUGCAGGACUGAUACUGUUUUUGAAGGGGUUUGAAACUCUACUUUGAAGAGAAGUGUUGUGAAACUCUGUCCAAAUCCCUCCUCCCAUAAUCACCACCAACAAUGAACAGCAGCUAACACAGCAAACAUCUUUUAUGUUGCAAACUCAACCUGGUUUAUAAUUGAGCAUCUUGCACCACAACUGUCCCACAAAGACACUCCUAACAAGACAAACAAAAUUCUACUUUGCUGCCAUCCAUUUUUUAAACAUCUAAAGUUCUAGUACACACCUGUGCUGAUGGGCACUGAUAUCCCUUGAGCUACCUUUGGGCUUUUAGUCACAGCAGAUGUUCAUAAAGUAUCUCAUAAAAAAAAAAACAAACCUUUUUGAGGUUCUGCUCAAAAACAUGACAAGAUCAUAAAAUGCUGAAUCCUUUAUUCCUCUUCUCAUUUCUAAAUGUCUGAACCUGUCUUUCACGGUGUCAAAAUUAUAAUAUUAAAAACCUGCCUCUUGCUUUCUCUUCCACUUCUUCCUUUCUCUAACUCCAUUCAUCCACUCCCAACUAUAUAUUAUAUUUUCCUCUACAUAAAUUGUUCUCCUUCCCCACCCUUCAAAGAAGCUUUUAAAGUAAGGUAUGAUUUAUAUAUCAAAGCUGUGGAAUGAAAAACACAGGGUAACUGGAACUAGAUACCAGUACCUUGAAGAGCAGCCUAGAAACACAAGCGAGAGUCUGCAGGUCCAGACAGGGAAAAGUAAGCAGGGGCAGACGUAGCAACAUCCAUCUCCAGAAGUCAGGCUGUUCUGCUGUGUCCUGUGUUGCCAUGCUGCCACCAUGAAAAGCAUGUGCUGUAAGGAGGGUGGAGAGGGAGUUUGUAACAGCCCACUGCCAUGAGUAUGGGGACUUCUAGGAGUCAGCUAUAGCAGUUUACUGCUGUCUUCCCUAUGUGCGCCACAGACAGAUCCUCAGGGAAAUGCCCCAUGUGGGUCACUGAAAAAAAUUAGGUUGCUGUAAAAGCAAAAUUUUAUCCUUUUAUUGAAGGAAGUGCACUUCAUACCCUGGACAAUGUAGAACACUGGAGCAGUAGCAAUACAGAUUAAAAUGCUAUGCACAUGCUAGAGAUGUUACUGCUAGAUGAGCAUGCCAGACUCUACCUAGGUCAGCAGAAGGGUGAAUUGAGAGAAAGACUGCAUAUCUAGAAUAUGGGACUAAGAUGACACUUUCUGCUGCAGGUGCUAAAAGAUGCUGCAUCAGAUACAACUCUGUCCUUUGAAACUUAUAAAACUGUGUAAGCAGAAGUUUCAACAUGCUUUUAAAAAUCUUCAUCUGAUAUUAAAAAUCUGAUUUUCAUUGCUAAUUACAGGCAUCAAUAGAAUAAUGCCUCACCGGAUGGAUUUCUGGCCCAGAAAGUAGUGACACUGCCACGAUCUGCUUACUUGACAGGUGGCUUGCAAAGUGUUCAAAAUACAAUUGGUACAUGCUAUGCUAGACUCCUUGGGGCUUGGAUCCCACACAGUGGCAUUUAGCUAAAUCCACAUGUAGGUGGGAUUAAAGGUUAGAAACAGAAGAAACACAUAUGGGUCCCUGGCUUCUGGGAUUAUUUAAUUUUUAAAGAAACCACAUAUUUCUAAUCCUAGCGAUUUGUAAAGAACAGCUCCAAAAUAUUACUUUUAUACAUGAGCUGGAAGAUAGCUAGGGACAGAGGGAGAAGUUAGCAAUUACAGGAACCAGAAAACACCAUUUAAGACCCCACAACUGUCACCAGAAGACACUAUGCUUUCCUGGUAUAGGGUAGGACACUAGAUGCGUCACUGGUCAGCAUUCCUUUCCUCUGGCCUUUUGGCUUCAUAGGUUAUAAGAAGGAAGGAUGAACAAGUAGUGGACAACCUCUUCAAUGUAAGAGAAUGCUGUAUUUACUUGCUUACCAUAUGCUCCUUUCCCCCAAAAAAGUCACCACUCCAAAAUUGGGGUGCAUGUCUUAAAUAAGAAAGCUGAUUUUCUUCACCUGAAUAAAAGCAUGGAGACACUGUUUUGCAAAAUGACUGCCAGCUGCUCUCUCAGCAAGCAACAGAAAGGGUGGAAGCCAGUUGCUUUCACAGCUGCUCUUAGCUCUCUGGCUGAGAGAGAAACAGACAGUCAUUUUGCAAAAGUUUCUCCACAGAAAGGCCAAUGCUAGACCAUGUCUGGAAAGACCAUGUCUUUCUCUCUACCAUUCUGCCUUCCAAAAACAAGGUAUGCAUCUCAUUUGGGGGCAAGUUGUAUGGGGAAGAAAUAUGGGAGAUUGCAGAGAUCAUUACAGAAAAAGAGCAGACAUCCUUUCUUUCACAUCUUGAUCAAGAAUGAAACAGUUUUGGUUUUUUUGCUUCAUUUUAUUCUUCACUGUGCAUCUGAAUAAGCACCCCACUGAGAUGAAGAGCUAUUAUUUAGGCUGUCUGUAACUUUGGGCACAUAUUUUUAGUACCUUAAACUUGACCUGAGUGAAUCCGUACAGCAAUCAAAAGGUCUAGAGACUUCCUCUGCUUUUUAGCAUGACAAUAUACUCACCUACAUACUAUUGGGUACUACAUGCUAACCUGGCCCAAUAGGAGCCUCUGAUAAGAAAGCCACGCAGCCUUUAAUUCAUACAAUAUUCAGCUCCUAAUAAUGCUACCCAUAUCAGACGUUUUCAUCAUAUUUCAGCUGGCCUUAAAAGCUGUAAGUGCUGUAGCUGUAAUAUUGCGACAUGUCAUGAAAUGAAUGGAUAAUAUAUGAAGAGAUCUCUGAACUGGCUCGACUCAGGUCCUGAUCUAUGAGACACUGUGCAAGCUACUUUUGGCCUCAGUCUUAUACUUGUAUCUCCUGUUCCAAUGCCUGCCUUGAGGUGCAGGAUGUCAGCUGUUGGUGUCUGAGACUUUUUAAUUUCCUAGCCUUUUGCCCUUUAGACCUGCAAAUCCCCUCCAAAGCCAGUUUGCAAUGCUAUUAUGGUUUCUGCUUCCCUCUUUCAUUUGUUUAACUUGGCUAAUUCUUCAACAGCUGAGCAGUUCACCUUAAUUCAUUUUCUGAAGUGCCUUCAGAUACAUUUUACAGAAUUGAAAGACUAUUAAUAAUAGAUGGAAAAUAAAAGGUCAGGAGAGGGGAUUUUCAUCUCCUUUAAACAUAAGGAGAGAAAUAUAAGGAGCAUUACGUAAUCUCUGAAACACAGUAUGGGGUUAGAAAGUCCCAUUUCAGAAAGAUGCUGAAGCAAUUCCUGAAACUUUGCAGUAUGCCACUUACAAAAUUAAUUAUUAACCAGAACUGUUCAUUUAGCUAUUGACCUGGGUUAAACCACAAGCUCCCACUGGAAUCUCAGCUCAGUUGUGGGUUCUCCAUUUUGAUGAAAAAUGAGCCCAGCAGAGCAGGAAUGACUUCUACCACAGACAAAAAACUAUGUCUGCCUUCCCUACUCAAGUCCCAGAGCUCAGAUCACACGGCCAGGCAGAAACCUCAUUCCCACUGAACUCUGUCUGGCUCCAGUCUGAGCACGACUUUCAGUCUAUAGGCUGACAAUGUAAAACAUGGAGGUGCUCAUUAGACCAGCACCUCCGAUUUACUAGUAUGGGGAUCCUGCCAACAUAAAGAGUCCCUUAGCCUCCACAGUUGGUGGUCUCCGAAAUAACAAAGCUGUUGGUGGUUCCUUCCUACAGAGUACAGCUGUUAAAUUAAAAAAACCCCAAAAAACCAAAAAA